UGGGGUGUGGCUCAGUGGUAGAACGCUUGCCAAGCAAGCAUGAGGCACUGGGUUCAAUCCUCAGCACCACAU
This is a non-coding RNA of Ictidomys tridecemlineatus (thirteen-lined ground squirrel), 72 nucleotides long. Lineage: Eukaryota; Metazoa; Chordata; Mammalia; Rodentia; Sciuridae. The record is from Rfam.